AUUAUUAUUGUUUUUAUUUUUAGGACUACACCCUCGGCACAUGGAAGUUCCCAGACUAGGUGUCCAAUCAGAGCUGCGGCUGCCAGCCUAUGCCACAGCUCACAGCAACACUGGAUCCUUAAUGCACUGAACGAGACCAGGGAUCAAACCUGAGUCCUCAUGGUUACUAGUCAGAUUCAUCACUGCUGAGCCACAGUGGGAACUCCUCUUUCUCUUUUUUUGAACCAUAAUUAUUUUCAAAUAUCUUAAGGAGAACAGUAAAGUUUUGCAUAUUCCUUGAGGCUUUUUAAAAACUAGGAGGAUUGAGAUUUUGUUUAUUAUUUUUGGAGAGAAAUACAAUGUGGGAAGGCUUCUCAUUUGUAGGUGCCUGAGCUCUGCCCCCAGGGCCCCUCCAGGCUCAGUGUCUGUCCUCUCCAUGGUAAAUCACAGGUGACAGUCACAUCUGGGGAGAACAGCCCAUGGGAACACAGAGAUUCACACUGAGAGCAGUAAGGGGAGCUUGGGACAGCCUCCAGAGCAGCAGCGGGUGACAGGGCAAGGGACUUGUCCCCUUCAGCACAGAGGGAGCCCAGAAUCACCCUGAAGAGUGGAAAUGGAUGUUUCCCUUUGGGGCCAUGGAGAUUUGGGACAACUUGAAAUAUCAGUGGGAUAUCAAGCUUCAUCUGGCGCCUUGAUAGAUAGUCUUGGGCUUACAUUUUCCUAAAAUGGUGGGGAAAAAAGAAGAGGCAAAAGGAAAGCAAGGAUCUCAUCUUCCAGGACCUCGGUCUACUCACUGGGGAGUCAAGAACUCCACUUCCUCCAGGGUCCGUGUUUUCUCUACCGGCUGUGGCACUCCCUCACGUUUUUUGCCGUUGUUGUUUGUUUUUUUCUUUCUCUUUUUUUGUCUUUUGUCUUUUUAGGGCCACACACGUGGCACAUGUAAGUUUCCAGGCUAGGGGUUGAAUCGGAGCUACACCUGCCAGCCUCCACCACAGCCGCAGCCACAGCAACUUGGGAUCUGAGCCACAUCUGUGACCUACACCACAGCUCUCGGCAACACUGGAUCUUUAACCUACUGAGCGAGGCCAGGGAUCGGACCCACGUCCUCAUGGAUACUAGUUGGUUUUGUUAACCGCUGAGCCAUGACGGGAACUCCUCCCUCACCGUUCUAAGGCUGAAAUUCCCUGAUGUGUCUUGAGAGAUGGACACAAGGUUCAAAUAGGGCUGGAUGGAGACCGAGACCUCUGAUAACGCGCUUCCCUGUAGAUAUGGGGUUAGAGUGUUCAUGGGAUGAAAGAGAGGCAGGGCCAAGUUCACAGCCAAAGGCAAUGCCACCCAGAAGUGUCCCCAAGGAGCCUCCACGUCCAGUUCAAGAUGACCACCUUCAUAGAGGGCUACUGAUGUCCUCAUUUCAACAGCUCUUUCUGCAUCCACCCCAAGAAGAGCUCGCUACUUGGUGAAGGUCCCGUGGAUAACCUUACAAGGUCACUCCAGCUGUCGUUUUUUGUGUAUGUUUGUUUGCUUGUUGUUUUUGUUUUCUUUUUAUGGCUAUACCUGUAGCAUAUGGAAUUCCCUGUGUUACCGUAUCCGAUCUUAGCACCUUGAAACUCUUCCAUCACUAAUGAGGAGACACAGAAAGCUUUGAGCAACCUCAGCUUUCCACUGAGCUGCUGAGCCCAUACCGAGGUCGAAGCCUGGAAGUCCACCCACAUCUGCCACUCAUAGGCACAGAUGUUGGAACAGAGUUCAGUCCUGCUCUUUCCCGACCUUAAGAGGCUUAGCGCAUCUCUGAAGCUGGAACAGGAGCUGGGAGGCACAGCUGAUUGGAAACGAGCUCCUCAGAACCACAGCACCCACAGCCGCACUUUGAGUUCUGUACUUCAAAGGGUAGACUGGGGAGUUCCUGUUGUGGCUCAGUGAUUCAAAUCCAAUUAGUAUCCAUGAGGAUGUGGGUUCGAUCCCUAGCCUCGCUCAGUGGGUUAAGGAUCUGGCGUUGCUGGGGCUGUGGUAUAGGCCAGCAGCUAUAAGCUCCGAUUUGACCCCUAGCCUGGGAACUUCCAUCUGCUGCAGGUGUGGCCCCAGAAAGCAAAAAGAAAAAGGGUAGUUUGGGAGCAGGGCCAUAAGUGGAGCUGGGAGGACUGGCCAGCACAAAGGCCUUUGGGAACACCAGGCUUCUGGGUGACACUGUCACAGACAGAGCAAAGCUGGCUGACGAAUUAGCUCCCACCAGCUAUAAGGCUGGCCCCAGAAAGUCCCUGGUCAAUUUCCUCAGGUUGGUAAAAAGAAUCACAGUUAGGCCUCAAGAGACCUCUUGGCUCUUAAGAUGCUGAGUUUGUUCCGCUCCUUCAGGCCAAGUUCACGUGGGCAAUCAAGUCAUGCAGAUCCUUAAAGGGGAAAAGGCACCUGGUUUGGCGUGCAUCUGGUUCCCCUUGCCUCCGAGUUCUGGCCUUCACAGGAAGGUCUGCCCUCAGGAAUCCCGUCAUUCAAUAAACCAGCAUCGACUGAACAACUACUGUAGCCAUCAACGCAGUUAUGGUCACUGAUGAACGCAAGUAGCAGUUAGUGAACAGGAGGAAGGUCUCUUUCUUGUCAGGAAGGGUCUGUGAGGGUCCCAUCCUCUCUGGGCCCCAAACCUCCCAGGGUGGCUCAGGGACCUAGGCUCCCUUUAACGUGUGGGACCACACGUCAACAUGUGGCUUCCUGGUCACCAAGUUGGGAUCAGAGGGAUUAUGAAGAAUUCACGACAUUUGUCGUUGACCCCCUCUCUUGGUGGUGGUUUUUUUUUGGGGGGGGGGUGCCGCACUAGAGUCAUAUGGAAGUUCCCAGGCUCGGGGUGGAAUCGGAGCUACAGCUGCCGGUCUACACCACAGCCACAGCAACACCAGAUGUGAGUCACAUCUGCGACCUACACCACAGCUCAUGGCAAAUGCUGGAUCCUUAACCCACUGAGCGAGGGUGGGGAUGGAACACACAUGCUCAUGGAUACCAGUCCGGCUCAUUACCUGCUGAGCCACAAUGGGAACUCCUCGACCGCCCCCCUUUGGAGUAACACCAGUCAUUACUUUUCACACUUAUUGCCAGAACUCAUCAUGUGAACUUCCAAGUGAACUGCAAGCAGGCUGGGAAAAGUACUGAGCAUGACUGUCUCAGCCCCCACUCCCUCAUGUCCAAAAGCCCACAAGUACUUGGGGGCUCAAGAUAAAGAAAGGAGCCCCCUUCCUUUCCUGGGGAGAUGAAAAAGCCAGGGAAAUAUCUUUGUCAGUAGAUGCUGGACAUACUGAUUUUAUGGAACAUAGUUGGCAGGAUUCCAGCUAUAGUGAACCCCUCCACCCAGUGGGGUUGGUCUGGGAAGAAGAGGAAUAUUUAAUUCUAACCAUGCUUCACUCACAGGGGGCUGGACCUUGUGGGUAAGCCAGCCAAGUCUCUAUAGAAAUAGAGGAGAAGAGGUAUUGUCUUCUAUGCCCUCUUGAAGUCAGGAUUUGGUUGCAACUGACUAUUUUUAUCUUCCCUGAGGUGACCAAAUCUGAAGACUUGUCUAUUGGCCCAGGGGAAGAUGCUGGGGUCACAACAAUAUGGUGGUGCAACUAGAUUAUAUAUAUAGACAUAUAUAUAAUAUAUAUAUGUAUGUAUAAAGUCCUCUGGAAACAAUUAAGUUUAUUUCAUGGUUCCCACUAAGUGGCCAAUUUAAUUUAUUAGACUCUGCCUUCCACUCACGUUGUGUAAGCUAUUCAUUGUCCGUCUGCCUGCCCAUCAAUCCUUCCAAAAAUCUAUCUAUUCUUCCAUCCAUCCAUCCAGUCAUCCAUCCAUCCAUUCAGGCAUUCAUCCAAUCAUCCAUCUAUCCAUCCAUCAUCCAUCCAUCCAAACAUCUAUCCAUUUAAGCACUCAUCAAGUCAUCUAAUCAUCCUCUAUCUGUCCAUCAUCCAUCCGUCCAAACAUAUAUCCAUCCAAACAUCCAUCCAUCCAAGCAUCUAUUCAUCCAUCCAUCUGCUCAUCCAUCCAAAUAUACAUUCAUCUGUUCAAGCACUUAUCCAAGCAUCUAAUCAUCUUCUAUCUAUCCAUCCAUCAUCCAUCCAAACAUCUUAUCAUCCAUCCAUCCAUCCACUCAUCCAUUCAAAUAUACACCCAUCCAUUCAAGCACUCAUUCAAGCAUCAAAUCAUCCUCCAUCCAUCCAUCCAUUUAUCAAAACAAAUACUUGUUGACUGCUGACUCUUGCUGGACAUGGCUCUAGUCAAGGGGUAUAUAGCAGAGGACAACUAAGACUAGAUCCUUACUCUUCUGGAACUUAUAGUCUACUAGACAAUCAACAAGAAAGGAAAUAUUUAGAAAGGACCAUACCAGAGUUCUCUAGGAGCUAUGACGACUAUGAGAUGGAAGGAUAAGAGAAGGAGGGACUUGAAUGGGAGGGGUGUGAGGCUACUCUAAGGUGUUCAGAUAGCCUCCCUGAGGAAGGGAGAUAUGAGCUAAGACCUGAGUCAUGAGGGGGAGUCAAACCAGGGACAACAUGGGAGAAUAGAACUCAAGAAAUGACAGACAAAGAGGGCAAAACUUUGAGGUGGGAAUGGAUCUGUUUUGUUAGAAGAACAAACAGAAGGGAACCAGUGAGGUUGGAGUUAGUGAGCAAGAAGGGCUGCAGCAGGAACUGAGGGUGGAGUACAGGGCAGAUCUGUAUCACACUGGGCUUAUAAGACCAUGGUCCUCAGUCCAGAUUUCACUCUAGGAUUUAUGGGCAUCUACUGGAGGGUUUUAAGUCCAGGAGUGACAUGAUUUGAAUUAUGUUUUUAAAAGGUCGCCCCAUUAAGUUUCAUUUAGCAAACAUUGACUGUCUACUUAGUAGAUUCAUCUAAGAGCCAUGAAAUGCUCUGGAGGCAGGGAGAGCAAAGGAGAGAAAGACAGAAGCUUUUAAAUUUAUAAAACAAACAUUGGCCAUAGUGCUUUGAAUCCAUUAGCAUAAAUGGCACAUCUGACUUGAUGGAACAUCAUGGAAAAUUGACCAUGAGAAAUUUAAAGUCCAGCUGCCCUAGAAAGAGGUAGUGACACAGAGAGUCUGAUGACCCACAGGACUCUCAGGGGGACCCAGCCAGAGAGAGAUGGAUGGGUUUCAAGGUGGACUUAUGCAGGUUAUUUUCUCUUCUUCAGCAUGACCCUCAAUUUUCUGGGGUCCUUUCUAUACAGUUCCAGAAUCUUCCCGGAUGUCCAGAAAGCAAAGUUUAUGGGGCUGGGAUGGUGGGGAAACUAGGAAAAGGCAAUGAAGGGAGCAGGGGGACCCAUUGCUUUGCAGGACCAACAUCCAUUUUUAAGGCAAAAUAUCUUGUUUUUCCCUUGAAGUCUGUCCCUUCUCUCUCUGUGUCCCCACGGUGCAAGUGAACACUGAUCUGCCUCCACAGGCUCUAGGAUUGGAAGGAAACAUCUGUGAUCAAGGCCUGGACCAUUACAUCUCCUUGCAACAGAUUUGAUUUAUGUUCAGUUUGUGGCUCCAGCUGUCCAAUUAGAUCAUUUGAGAGACUUUUCCUGAUAGUGUCAAGACACUUAUUAUCUUUACUCUG
This 5523-nucleotide long non-coding RNA is filed under the name Sus scrofa (pig). RNAcentral's name for it is "lncRNA (ENSSSCG00035004587.1)". Lineage: Eukaryota; Metazoa; Chordata; Mammalia; Artiodactyla; Suidae. The record is from RNAcentral.